RNAcentral lists this ribosomal RNA (497 nucleotides) under uncultured bacterium. Its description in RNAcentral is "partial 16S ribosomal RNA". It matches the Rfam family "Bacterial small subunit ribosomal RNA", at positions 28 to 507 of the family's 1533-position model. The record is from RNAcentral.
GAUGAACGCUGGCGGCGUGCCUAAUACAUGCAAGUCGAGCGAACGGACGAGAAGCUUGCUUCUCUGAUGUUAGCGGCGGACGGGUGAGUAACACGUGGAUAACCUACCUAUAAGACUGGGAUAACUUCGGGAAACCGGAGCUAAUACCGGAUAAUAUUUUGAACCGCAUGGUUCAAAAGUGAAAGACGGUCUUGCUGUCACUUAUAGAUGGAUCCGCGCUGCAUUAGCUAGUUGGUAAGGUAACGGCUUACCAAGGCAACGAUGCAUAGCCGACCUGAGAGGGUGAUCGGCCACACUGGAACUGAGACACGGUCCAGACGCCUACGGGAGGCAGCAGUAGGGAAUCUUCCGCAAUGGGCGAAAGCCUGACGGAGCAACGCCGCGUGAGUGAUGAAGGUCUUCGGAUCGUAGAACUCUGUUAUUAGGGAAGAACAUAUGUGUAAGUAACUGUGCACAUCUUGACGGUACCUAAUCAGAAAGCCACGGCUAACUACGUG